Molecule: ribosomal RNA, 365 nt
Filed under: uncultured bacterium
Lineage: Bacteria
Description: bacterial SSU rRNA
Source: RNAcentral
UGUGCCAGCMAGCCGCGGUAAUACGUAGGUGGCAAGCGUUAUCCGGAAUUAUUGGGCGUAAAGCGCGCGUAGGCGGUUUUUUAAGUCUGAUGUGAAAGCCCACGGCUCAACCGUGGAGGGUCAUUGGAAACUGGAAAACUUGAGUGCAGAAGAGGAAAGUGGAAUUCCAUGUGUAGCGGUGAAAUGCGCAGAGAUAUGGAGGAACACCAGUGGCGAAGGCGACUUUCUGGUCUGUAACUGACGCUGAUGUGCGAAAGCGUGGGGAUCAAACAGGAUUAGAUACCCUGGUAGUCCACGCCGUAAACGAUGAGUGCUAAGUGUUAGGGGGUUUCCGCCCCUUAGUGCUGCAGCUAACGCAUUAAGCA